ACGCUCGACACCUACGGGAGGCAGCAGUCGGGAAUAUUGCGCAAUGGAGGAAACUCUGACGCAGUGACGCCGCGUAUGGGAAGAAGGUUUUCGGAUUGUAAACCAUUUUAGACAAGGAAGAAACAAGACAGUACUUGUAGAAUAAGCUCCGGCUAACUACGUGCUAGCAGCCGCGGUAAUCUGAGCGGGCUGGCAAGGC
RNAcentral lists this ribosomal RNA (199 nucleotides) under uncultured bacterium. RNAcentral describes it as "partial 16S ribosomal RNA". It matches the Rfam family "Bacterial small subunit ribosomal RNA", at positions 328 to 539 of the family's 1533-position model. The record is from RNAcentral.